GUGUGUGUGUGUGUUUUGGGACUAAAAUUCCCAUCAUCCCUGACCUCUGGUCCUGUUAGCUAGGGAUGGUGGGAAUUGUAGUCCCAAAACAUACAU
This is a non-coding RNA of Podarcis lilfordi (Lilford's wall lizard), 96 nucleotides long. The record is from the annotation of a GenBank genome assembly. Lineage: Eukaryota; Metazoa; Chordata; Lepidosauria; Squamata; Lacertidae.